RNAcentral lists this transfer RNA (63 nucleotides) under Parborlasia corrugatus (corrugated ribbon worm). RNAcentral's name for it is "tRNA-Ser". The record is from RNAcentral. Lineage: Eukaryota; Metazoa; Nemertea; Pilidiophora; Heteronemertea; Lineidae.
GAAAUGAGUUUUGACGAGGGCUUCUAACUUUUGUCUGAGUGGUUUGAUUCCAUUCUCAUCUUU